UAAAGUGCACAUGAACCUGCUGCUGGC
Molecule: non-coding RNA, 27 nt
Filed under: Cricetulus griseus (Chinese hamster)
Lineage: Eukaryota; Metazoa; Chordata; Mammalia; Rodentia; Cricetidae
Source: RNAcentral